RNAcentral lists this long non-coding RNA (680 nucleotides) under Astyanax mexicanus (Mexican tetra). RNAcentral's name for it is "lncRNA (ENSAMXG00005020858.1)". The record is from RNAcentral. Lineage: Eukaryota; Metazoa; Chordata; Actinopteri; Characiformes; Acestrorhamphidae.
CACUAAAUCCACACACAUUUCUCACACAUUUUACUAAUUUUCACUAAAUCCACACACAUUUCUCACACAUUUUACUAAUUUUCACUAAAUCCACACACAUUUCUCACACAUUUUACUAAUUUUCACUAAAUCCACACACAUUUCUCACACAUUUCACUCAUUUUCACUAAAUCCACACAUUUCUAUCAGUUCUUUUUUCAGCAUGUCUCUUCCAGGUUAUUUUUCAGGGCCGGAGCUGGUGGACUGGUUGGACUGGCUGGAGGAGCAUCACCCCGGUUUCCCCAGACCAGUUUAUGCCCGCCUGCACGGUGAGGGACGUCCUUCAUCCGAGGCUUACGUGUUCCUCAGUCCGGAUUUUCCUCUGCAUGGAGAAGAUGGAUUUGCUCAGUUCAUCUCCCUUCCAGAAGUCGGUAAGUUCCUUAUUAUCAGUUCUUUAGUCUCUCUCUCAAAUACAUAAUCAUGGAUAAAUCAGAUCUAUAUACACAUAAAAUCUGCACAUAUGUUACAGCUGUUUGAAUAGUAAAUGAGUGUAGAUGGUUUUGAGCAGCACUAAUGAGUUUUUUUUUUCUAUUUAUUUGCUCAUCUGCAGGUCUGUACUACCCCUUUUACUUCCCCACCCAGUGUGACAGCAGAGCCGAGUACUGGAAGUGGUUCCUGUACAGCCUGGUUGCUCACCUGAU